GACGAACGCUGGCGGCGUGCUUAGCACAUGCAAGUCGAACGGAAAGGCCCUGCUUUUGUGGGGUGCUCGAGUGGCGAACGGGUGAGUAACACGUGAGUAACCUGCCCUUGACUUUGGGAUAACUUCAGGAAACUGGGGCUAAUACCGGAUAGGAGCUCCUGCUGCAUGGUGGGGGUUGGAAAGUUUCGGCGGUUGGGGAUGGACUCGCGGCUUAUCAGCUUGUUGGUGGGGUAGUGGCUUACCAAGGCUUUGACGGGUAGCCGGCCUGAGAGGGUGACCGGCCACAUUGGGACUGAGAUACGGCCCAGACUCCUACGUGAGGCAGCAGUGGGGAAUAUUGCACAGUGGGCGGAAGCCUGAUGCAGCAACGCCGCGUGCGGGAUGACGGCCUUCGGGUUGUAAACCGCUUUCGCCUGUGACGAAGCGUGAGUGACGGUAAUGGGUAAAGAAGCACCGGCUAACUACGUG
RNAcentral lists this ribosomal RNA (468 nucleotides) under uncultured bacterium. RNAcentral's name for it is "partial 16S ribosomal RNA". It matches the Rfam family "Bacterial small subunit ribosomal RNA", at positions 28 to 507 of the family's 1533-position model. The record is from RNAcentral.